GAUGAACGCUGGCGGCGUGCCUAAUACAUGCAAGUCGAGCGAAUGGAUUAAGAGCUUGCUCUUAUGAAGUUAGCGGCGGACGGGUGAGUAACACGUGGGUAACCUGCCCAUAAGACUGGGAUAACUCCGGGAAACCGGGGCUAAUACCGGAUAACAUUUUGAACCGCAUGGUUCGAAAUUGAAAGGCGGCUUCGGCUGUCACUUAUGGAUGGACCCGCGUCGCAUUAGCUAGUUGGUGAGGUAACGGCUCACCAAGGCAACGAUGCGUAGCCGACCUGAGAGGGUGAUCGGCCACACUGGGACUGAGACACGGCCCAGACUCCUACGGGAGGCAGCAGUAGGGAAUAUUGCACAAUGGACGAAAGUCUGACGGAGCAACGCCGCGUGAGUGAUGAAGGCUUUCGGGUCGUAAAACUCUGUUGUUAGGGAAGAACAAGUGCUAGUUGAAUAAGCUGGCACCUUGACGGUACCUAACCAGAAAGCCACGGCUAACUACGUGCCAGCAGCCGCCGUAA
This 515-nucleotide ribosomal RNA is filed under the name uncultured bacterium. Its description in RNAcentral is "partial 16S ribosomal RNA". It matches the Rfam family "Bacterial small subunit ribosomal RNA", at positions 28 to 523 of the family's 1533-position model. The record is from RNAcentral.